UGUGCAGCCCUUUGUGCACGGUAUAUUUGCUGAUCACACUCCUUGGCAUUGGAAUGCAAGUGGGUGGUAAUUCAUGUAAAGGUAAACAUGCAAUUGAACUGAUACACACAAGUACCAUGAGGGAAAUAUGAAAAGGACUUUGAAAAGAGAAUUAAAUGAGUUUGUAUUUGCUGAACACAAAGUAAACAGACUUGAUUUGCUUGGUGGGAGUGUUGCACUUGCUUGACAAGAGCUUUGGGCUGUGGGUGUAAUGAUUCUUUCUUUGCAUGCCAGUUUCUAUUUGUACAUCUGAUUACCUUUGCACAUGAAUGAUAAGUCUCCUGUGGGGGGUGGAUUGCAUGUGCAUGUAAUGAUUUGUGUUUUGAUAAAUGUGUCUGGUGUAUGUGUGUGUUCCUGUGCUUGGGGAUGCUUCCUUCCUUGGACUUACAAGCCCUGACACACACAUGCUGGCAAAAUGCUUCUGCUUGACCCGUCUUGAAACACGGACCAAGGAGUCUAACAGAUGUGCAAAGUUGAAGGUGGUAUACCUGUUGCAAUGAAAAGUGCCUGAUAUGUGCACCAGCACCCAUUAAUUAGC
RNAcentral lists this ribosomal RNA (577 nucleotides) under Alexandrium catenella. Its description in RNAcentral is "partial large subunit ribosomal RNA". It matches the Rfam family "Eukaryotic large subunit ribosomal RNA", at positions 231 to 770 of the family's 3401-position model. Lineage: Eukaryota; Dinophyceae; Gonyaulacales; Pyrocystaceae. The record is from RNAcentral.